GGCGGCGGCGUCUACCCCCAGCUCCUCCUCCCUCCUCCUCCGUCUCCUCCUCUCUCUCUCCAUCUGCUGUGGUUAUGGCCCGUCGCUGGAGCACAAAAGAGUCUCCGCGGUGGAGGUCUGCGUUGCUCUUGCUUUUCCUCGCUGGGGUGUACGCUUGUGGAGAGACUCCAGAGCAAAUUCGAGCACCAAGUGGCAUAAUCACAAGCCCAGGCUGGCCUUCUGAAUAUCCUGCAAAAAUCAACUGUAGCUGGUUCAUAAGGGCAAACCCAGGCGAAAUCAUUACUAUAAGGUAAUCUACCUUUCUGUAUUACUAUAUAAUUUAUUACAAAACAUAAAUUCCAUUUUUCAUUUAUUAUUACUUAACAUGCAGUAAUAUAAAAAGAAGGCUUUUCAGGAGAUGUAAUAAAGAACAGCUAUUGGUGUCAUCUUAAGAGUAAGAAUAACAGCCCAUCUGGUAUGUGUUUUGAGUAUUUUCUAAGGGUGGUAAUGUAUUUGCAUUGAAUCAUCUAUAUUAUUCUAAGCUACUUUUUAACAAAAGAUAGACAUUUGCAAAAUAGCCUAUUAGGGUCAAGACUAACCUUUGGCAGUGGAACAAACAAAUAAACAAAACUCAUUAAUUCACUUGGAUAUCUAGCUCUUAACCUUUGUCUCAUUAGUAGAGCCUUCUACCUAAAUGAGUUAAAACACGAUUUGUCAUGCAUGUCUGUAUAUGUGUAUGUAUGUAUAAAACUUGAAACAAACUGAUAAUGGAGAAAUACUAUAUCUAGAAAAAUCUUUUUUUAUAACUUCGAAACAAAAGAACAUUUGUUAAGAAUACAAAUGAAAGGCAUUCCUAGGGGAAAUAGCUGUAAGUUUAAGAUUCUAAGAAUGAAUGUGACAUAUAAAUAAGGAAGGUUAAGAUUAAAUUUUAAAACAUUUAGCAAAUUACUUGCAGAGAAAAACAGUACAGGAAUAAGAUUGUAAAGAAUAUAUUUAGUAGAACUAGAUAUUGCUUGCUUAGGAAAAUUCUAUCAAGGCCAUUAGGAAAAAAAUAUUUACCUACAGGGGAAAAAAAAAUAGUGUGCCUGAAUGAAGAACUGCAGUUGGAACAAAACACAAAUAAGAAUGUCAUUUCCAUCACAGAGACAGUGUAGCACAAAGGCACCUUCAACAUGUUUUCAUGUGUAACAUUGUAUGGGUAGGAGGCAUAGAAUUUUAGAUUUAGAGGAGACUUUGGAGAUCAUAAACUCAAAUUUCUUCAUUUUAUGUUUUUAAAAUAAGACCUAUACAUUUAGCUUACUUUCCCAUCUUUUUUCAUCUUCCUUUUUUGUAUUUAUUAACUAGUGAGGAAACCAAUCUCUCUUGAGAAGCACAACUGUCAUCUAUCUCCUUUUUUUGGUGGAAACCACAAACAAGGGCCAUAGUUUGUUUUCCUUUUAUUUUCCUCUACCCUACAUUACCUCUUCUGGAACCCCGGAGCUUGGCACAUACAAAAGCUGUUGUUCUCCUCCUCCAUGCAGUGUUUUUCUCUUGCCUGAUUGAGUGGUAGAAUGCACCAUUAAGGUUAUCUUUCUGUAACAGUGUCAGUGUUUAAAUGUAAAUAAUAUACCUAUUUUCUGUUACUUGUAGUACGACUAAGUAUGUUUACAAAAUAACAUUUUUACCACAUAUUGGGAGUUUUUUAGCAUAAAACUAGAAUUUAUAGAGACCUUCACCUUUUAACCUAAAAAUUAAACUUACAGCUUAUAGCUCAGUUUUGUAAAACUUGAAAAUCUUACCAGCACAGAAGAGAUUACAUGAAAUACUGCCAUCUGGUUUUGAUAAUGUAUUGCAUCCUUGAGAUUUCAUGAAGUAAGAUACACUGAAAACCAAGCACGAUACUGAAAUGCAGAAUAAAAUUGAAGUGAGCCCUACAGCUAAAGGAAAAUUUCCUGAAUUCUAGAAGGGAGCAAUGAAUUUCGAUGUAUACAGAUCAGAAGGUGAUUUUAGUAAUUGUUCAGAUUCUUUACUGAAGUCAUUAUCAUGGUAAUACCAUAACUUUAAAAAGAUAACACACAUGCAUAUACACAAAGACAAGUUUUACAUAUGAUUAUCAUUGCAUAAUCUUAAAUGAUUCAAAAGAAUCAUAUGCAUAAUUAAAUGUAGCUUUUUUAGACAUACAAAUCAGUAUUAGGAAAUAUUAAAUUAACUUACCAUGUUAACAAGUCAAAAGAAAAAGUAUAUGAUUAUCUAGUGUACAUAGAUGCAUUAAAGCAUCUUGGUAAAAAAGAAAAUCAGCAUUCAUUCCUGAAUUUAAAAUAAAAAUUUUAAAUUCUUAGUAAAAUGGAAUUAGAAACAUGAUUUUUUUAGAUCUGGAUAGAAGAGGGAAACUAAAGUUAUGGAGUAAAAACAAACAAUACUGAGAGCUAUCUGUAUAAAACUUGCUUAAGAUGGUGAAAUAAAGGCAUUUUUACUUCAUUCCUCUCCCUUGGAACCCACUAUAAUCAACAAAGGCCACCUUAUCCAUGGAGAAGAGAGGAUUGAAUACCAGCACCCUGCUUGAAGCCAAGGACUAGGGACAGGCAAUUUUGCUCCAGACAGGAGGCUGAAAAAUCUUCCACCAACCACAGCCUGAAUUUAUAUGGGGCUGAGAGCUUAGAGAGCUGAGAGGGCAUAACCUAACAAACAUGAAUAACUAUGUCACCUGCUGACUCCAUGACAGGAUCUUUAAUACUCUGAACCAUCAUUUAAGACUUGUUCUGGAAUGUAGACCCAAGUAGGGGAACAUAGAAGAAGAGAGGGUUAAAAAAAAAGAGAAAACCAAAAAACUUCCAUAAAAUAAACCUGUAAACCAGAAUUCCAGAAUGUGUGAAAAAAUUGAAUGCUGAGAAAAACAGCCAAACAAAAUUAAGUUGGAACUCAAAUUUACUCCAGGCAUUUUAAGAUGUAUUCUGUCAGGGAUUAUUUCUUAACUUUCUUUAUGCCACGGACACCUAGUAUUCUGGUAAAACCUAUGUAUUCUUUCCCAGAAUAAUGUGUUUAAAUUCAUUUAAAAAAAUACAUAGCAUUACAAAGGGAACCAAUUAUGUUUAAAGUACAGCUAUCAGAUAUUUUUUAAUAUUUGUAAUGUAAUAUAUGCUUAUUUAUUAACACAUUAGCAAAAUCAAGUGGUUAAUUUCGAAGAAAAAAUUUUAAGUGUAAAUAGUAUUUUUAGAUAUCUGUAAAAACUGAAAUGUAACAUAAAAAUCUCUCUAAUUUUGAAUAGUUGUGGAGUGGCCAGUGCUAUAAAUACUGUCAUGGUUUGUUGUUUAUAAGUGUAGGAAAUGCUAAAUUUUAGUAAAAGAUUGUGAAAAUAAAGCAGUAAAUGGUUUCUACCCUAUUUGUGAUUUUUGAGGGGACAGGAGAAACACCGAAUACUCUUACUUGGACUUUGUUAGAAAAAAAGUGUGUUUCAGCAUGUCAAUUAAAAUAUCAAAAGGUAGCCACUGAUUAAAAAUAGAAGUAAUAUUGAGCAGUUAACAGAGGAAAAGGAACUUUAAACAUAUAUUCAAAAAAAGACAGGAGGCUAGAUGUGGUGGCUCACGCCUGUAAUCCCAGCACUUUGGGAGGCCGAGGCGGGCAGAUCACUUGAGGUCAGGAGUUUGAGACCAGCCUGGCCAACAUAGCGAAACCUCGUCUCUACUAAAAAUACAAAAAUUAGCUGGGCAUGGUAGCACACGCCUAUAAUCCUAGCUACUCAGGAGGCUGAGGCAUGAGAAUUGCUUGAACCCUGGAGGUGGAGGUUACAGAGCCGAGAUCGUGCCACUGUGCUCUAGCCUAGGCAACAGAGUGAAACCCUGUCUCAAAAAAACAAAAAAAAAAAAAAAAAAGGAAAGGAGGAAAAUGAGAACUCUCUCCCAAGUAGAAAGGAUGUAACACAUCUAAAACAAAACUAAUAAAUAAUGUCUAACAACAAGGAGAUGGGCCAGACGCUGUGGCUUGUGCCUGUAAUCCUAGCAUUUUGGAAGGCCAAGGUAGGCUCAGGAAUUCGAGACCGGCCUGGGCAACGUAGUGAAACCCUGUCUCUACAAAAAAUACAAAAAACUAGCUGGGCGUGAUGGCACGUUGCCUAUGGUCCCAGCUACUCAGGAGGCUGAGGUGGGAGGAUCACCUGAGCCCAGGAGGUUGAGGCUGCAGUGAGCCAUGAAUGCACCACUGCACUCCAGCCUGGGUGGAAGAAUGAGACCUUGUCUCAAAAAUAAACAAAAACAAAACAAGGAGAUAGAAAAGGUUAGUUUUGGAGCUACUCAUCAAGAGAAAGCUAGUGUAGGAAGAUUAACAUCCAUUGUAAUUGAGCUUAAGGCACAAAAUACUAGUAACAAUUGGAGUAUUCUACCAGGAAAAUAAAACAGCAGUAAAUUUCAUGUACUUAAUUACAUGGCUUAAAAUACAUGCAAAGCAAAAUGUGGAGAAUUGCCCAGCAAAUUUGACCAAUCCACAAUUGCAGUGGGAGAUUUUUAACACACCUUUAAUACUUAUUUCAACAAAGAAUACACAUUCUUUUCAAAAACGUGGAACAUUUAUAAAAACUGAUUAUGUUUCAGAUCACAAAGGAACUCAUAAUACAUUUCAAAGACUGUACAUCAUUCAGAUUGUGUUUUCUUACCACAAUGCAAUUAAAAUAAAGGAAAAAAAAUAAACCUGUAUGUUUAGAAAUAUAUUCCUAAAUAACUCCUGAAUUAAAGAGGAGAUCACAAUGGGACCAAAUAUUUUUUAAAUAACCAUAGUGAAAGUAAUACAUAUUGAAACUGUUAGAAUACAUUGAAAGAGUACUUAGAAAAGUUUACAACUUUAAUGCAUUGAUUUAAAAAUUAGAAAAUAAAUAAGCUCAGCAUUUAACUCAAGAGUUAAGGAAAAGAAUUAUAGGGUAAAUUUUAAAGUAGAAGUAAAGACCAGGAAAAUAAGCAAUAAAAUUCAAUAAAACAAAAAGCUGACUUUCUGAAAAACUCAGGAAAAUAGAUAAAACUCAAAGCAAAACUGAAGAAAAA
RNAcentral lists this small RNA (4985 nucleotides) under Pongo abelii (Sumatran orangutan). Its description in RNAcentral is "retained intron". Lineage: Eukaryota; Metazoa; Chordata; Mammalia; Primates; Hominidae. The record is from RNAcentral.